CUAGCUACAGGCUUAACACAUGCAAGUCGAGGGGAAACGACAUCGAAAGCUUGCUUUUGAUGGGCGUCGACCGGCGCACGGGUGAGUAACGCGUAUCCAACCUGCCCACCACUUGGGGAUAACCUUGCGAAAGUAAGACUAAUACCCAAUGACGUCUCUAGAAGACAUCUGAAAGAGAUUAAAGAUUUAUCGGUGAUGGAUGGGGAUGCGUCUGAUUAGCUUGUUGGCGGGGUAACGGCCCACCAAGGCGACGAUCAGUAGGGGUUCUGAGAGGAAGGUCCCCCACAUUGGAACUGAGACACGGUCCAAACUCCUACGGGAGGCAGCAGUGAGGAAUAUUGGUCAAUGGACGAGAGUCUGAACCAGCCAAGUAGCGUGCAGGAUGACGGCCCUAUGGGUUGUAAACUGCUUUUAUAAGGGAAUAAAGUGAGUCUCGUGAGACUUUUUGCAUGUACCUUAUGAAUAAGGACCGGCUAAUUCCGUGCCAGCAGCCGCGGUAAUACGGAAGGUCCGGGCGUUAUCCGGAUUUAUUGGGUUUAAAGGGAGCGUAGGCCGGAGAUUAAGCGUGUUGUGAAAUGUAGACGCUCAACGUCUGCACUGCAGCGCGAACUGGUUUCCUUGAGUACGCACAAAGUGGGCGGAAUUCGUGGUGUAGCGGUGAAAUGCUUAGAUAUCACGAAGAACUCCGAUUGCGAAGGCAGCUCACUGGAGCGCAACUGACGCUGAAGCUCGAAAGUGCGGGUAUCGAACAGGAUUAGAUACCCUGGUAGUCCGCACGGUAAACGAUGGAUGCCCGCUGUUGGUCUGAAUAGGUCAGCGGCCAAGCGAAAGCAUUAAGCAUCCCACCUGGGGAGUACGCCGGCAA
This 865-nucleotide ribosomal RNA is filed under the name uncultured bacterium. RNAcentral's name for it is "bacterial SSU rRNA". It matches the Rfam family "Bacterial small subunit ribosomal RNA", at positions 36 to 891 of the family's 1533-position model. The record is from RNAcentral.